UUUCCUUCGGGACAGAGGUGACAGGUGGUGCAUGGUUGUCGUCAGCUCGUGUCGUGAGAUGUUGGGUUAAGUCCCGCAACGAGCGCAACCCCUAUUGUUAGUUGCCAUCAUUUAGUUGGGCACUCUAGCGAGACUGCCGGUAAUAAACCGGAGGAAGGUGGGGAUGACGUCAAAUCAUCAUGCCCCUUAUGACCUGGGCUACACACGUGCUACAAUGGCUGGUACAACGAGUCGCGAGUCGGUGACGGCAAGCUAAUCUCUUAAAGCCAGUCUCAGUUCGGAUUGUAGGCUGCAACUCGCCUACAUGAAGUCGGAAUCGCUAGUAAUCGCGGAUCAGCACGCCGCGGUGAAUACGUUCCCGGGCCUUGUACACACCGCCCGUCACACCACGAGAGUUUGUAACACCCGAAGUCGGUGAGGUAACCUUUUAGGAGCCAGCCGCCUAAGGUGGGAUAGAUGAUUGGGGUGAAGUCGUAACAAGGUAGCCGUAUCGGAAGGUGCGGCUGGAUCACCUCCUUU
RNAcentral lists this ribosomal RNA (519 nucleotides) under Streptococcus parasanguinis. RNAcentral's name for it is "bacterial SSU rRNA". It matches the Rfam family "Bacterial small subunit ribosomal RNA", at positions 1014 to 1533 of the family's 1533-position model. The record is from RNAcentral. Lineage: Bacteria; Bacillati; Bacillota; Bacilli; Lactobacillales; Streptococcaceae.